This 541-nucleotide ribosomal RNA is filed under the name uncultured bacterium. RNAcentral describes it as "bacterial SSU rRNA". It matches the Rfam family "Bacterial small subunit ribosomal RNA", at positions 338 to 895 of the family's 1533-position model. The record is from RNAcentral.
CCUACGGGAGGCAGCAGUGGGGAAUAUUGCACAAUGGGGGAAACCCUGAUGCAGCAACGCCGCGUGAGUGAUGAAGUCCUUCGGGUUGUAAAGCUCUGUCUUUGGGGACGAUAAUGACGGUACCCAAGGAGGAAGCCACGGCUAACUACGUGCCAGCAGCCGCGGUAAUACGUAGGUGGCAAGCGUUGUCCGGAUUUACUGGGCGUAAAGGGAGCGUAGGUGGAUAUUUAAGUGGGAUGUGAAAUCCCCGGGCUUAACCUGGGGGCUGCAUUCCAAACUGGAUGUCUAGAGUGCAGGAGAGGAGAGUGGAAUUCCUAGUGUAGCGGUGAAAUGCGUAGAGAUUAGGAAGAACACCAGUGGCGAAGGCGACUCUCUGGACUGUAACUGACACUGAGGCUCGAAAGCGUGGGGAGCAAACAGGAUUAGAUACCCUGGUAGUCCACGCCGUAAACGAUGGGUACUAGGUGUAGGGGUUUUCGAGUACUUCUGUGCCGCCGUUAACACAAUAAGUACCCCCGCCUGGGAGUACGGUCGCAAGAUU